RNAcentral lists this ribosomal RNA (253 nucleotides) under uncultured bacterium. Its description in RNAcentral is "partial 16S ribosomal RNA". It matches the Rfam family "Bacterial small subunit ribosomal RNA", at positions 524 to 776 of the family's 1533-position model. The record is from RNAcentral.
UACGUAGGGUGCGAGCGUUAUCCGGAAUUAUUGGGCGUAAAGAGCUCGUAGGCGGUUUGUCGCGUCUGUCGUGAAAGUCCGGGGCUUAACCCCGGAUCUGCGGUGAGUACGGGCAGACUAGAGUGCAGUAGGGGAGACUGGAAUUCCUGGUGUAGCGGUGGAAUGCGCAGAUAUCAGGAGGAACACCGAUGGCGAAGGCAGGUCUCUGGGCUGUAACUGACGCUGAGGAGCGAAAGCAUGGGGAGCGAACAGG